GACCGGUGCCAGCCGCCGCGGUAACACCGGCAGCCCGAGUGGUGAUCACUAUUAUUGGGUCUAAAGGGUCCGUAGCCGGUUUAAUCAGUCUUCUGGGAAAUCUAAUCGCUUAACUAUUAGGCUUCCAGGGGAUACUGUUAGACUUGGGACCGGGAGAGGUAAGAGGUACUGCAGGGGUAGGAGUGAAAUCUGGUAAUCCCUGUGAGACCACCAGUGGCGAAGGCGUCUUACCAGAACGGGUCCGACGGUGAGGGACGAAAGCUGGGGGCACGAACCGGAUUAGAUACCCGGGUAGUCCCAGCUGUAAACGAUGCUCGUUAGGUGUCAGGAACGGUGCGACUGUUUCUGGUGCCGAAGGGAAGCCGUGAAACGAGCCACCUGGGAAGUACGGCCGCAAGGCUGAAACUUAAAGGAAUUGGCGGGGGAGCACUACAACGGGUGGAGCCUGCGGUUUAAUUGGACUCAACGCCGGAAAACUCACCGGGGGCGACAGCAAUAUGUAGGUCAGGUUAAAGGUCUUACCUGAAUCGCUGAGAGGAGGUGCAUGGCCGUCGUCAGUUCGUACUGUGAAGCAUCCUGUUAAGUCAGGCAACGAGCAAGACCCGUGCCCACUGUUACCAGCAUAUCCUUUAUGGAUGAUGGGGACUCUGUGGGGACCGCUGCUGCUAAAGCAGAGGAAGGUGCGGGCUACGGUAGGUCAGUAUGCCCCGAAUCUCCCGGGCUACACGCGGGCUACAAUGGUUGGGACAAUGGGUAUCUACUCCGAAAGGAGUUGGCAAUCUCUUAAACCCAAUCGUAGUUCGAAUUGAGGGCUGUAACUCGCCCUUCAUGAAGCUGGAAUCCGUAGUAAUCGCGUUUCAACAUAGCGC
This 869-nucleotide ribosomal RNA is filed under the name uncultured archaeon. RNAcentral describes it as "bacterial SSU rRNA". It matches the Rfam family "Archaeal small subunit ribosomal RNA", at positions 450 to 1316 of the family's 1478-position model. The record is from RNAcentral.